GACAGAGGAGGCAAGCGUUAUCCGGAUUUACUGGGCGUAAAGCGCUUGUAGGCGGCCUUGUAAGUUGGGCGUGAAAGCUCCGGGCUUAACCCGGAGAGGCCGUCCAAUACUGCGAGGCUAGAGGGUGCUAGAGGAAGGUGGAAUUCCUGGUGUAGCGGUGAAAUGCGUAGAUAUCAGGAGGAACACCCGUGGCGAAGGCGGCCUUCUGGGGCAUUCCUGACGCUGAGAAGCGAAAGCUAGGGGAGCAAACAGG
RNAcentral lists this ribosomal RNA (253 nucleotides) under uncultured bacterium. RNAcentral describes it as "partial 16S ribosomal RNA". It matches the Rfam family "Bacterial small subunit ribosomal RNA", at positions 524 to 776 of the family's 1533-position model. The record is from RNAcentral.